RNAcentral lists this unclassified non-coding RNA (25 nucleotides) under Mus musculus (house mouse). RNAcentral's name for it is "oocyte_clustered_small_RNA12262". The record is from RNAcentral. Lineage: Eukaryota; Metazoa; Chordata; Mammalia; Rodentia; Muridae.
UGUAGCUAUUGUCACUCAUCAGGGU